UUUGAACAUGAAAUUAAUAAUACUGAAGUUGAGAAAUUUUGUUUCACUGGUCCACAGCAUAGUGGUUAAUCUAAUCCAACAAACAUGAUGAAAAUAUUUUUAUAUUUUUACAGGAUUCUAUUUGAAGUACUAAAGAAUGUCCCAUACUGAAGGAAAACGACAUUAAAAAGACAGAUAACAUCUGCAAAGGAAGGAUUAUCUGAGUGCGGCCUGCUGCUCCUGGUGCAACUGAUGUCAGCCUUGGUGCCGCAGCUGGGUAGACAGAAACUCAAGUCCUUUACAGCUUCCUUAUUUCCAGAAAGCUUUGGAGACAGACAACACCCCAGAGGAAGGAAGAUCUGAGUGUGGCCUGCUGCCCCUAGGGCAAUCGAUAUCAGCCUUGAUCCAGCCUUUGGUGUGGACAGAAACUCACAUCCUCUGGGGCAUCCUCCUUUCCAGAAAGCAUCAGAAUCAGACAUUCUGGAGAAGGCCUCACUGUAACCUGAACAAUUCAAGACAGACAACGUCCCCAGAGGAAGGAAGAUCUGAGUGUGGCUUGCUGCUCCUGGGGAAUAAAUGUCAGCCUUGGUGCAGCACCUGGGGUAGCCAAAAACUCACAAUCUUUGGGACAUACUCAUUUCCAGAAAGCUUCAGAGGUCAAAAACUAGAACAAGUUACCGUGCUUUCAAGUGAACAAGUUAUUUUCAAGGAAGGAAAGUGA
This 700-nucleotide long non-coding RNA is filed under the name Bos mutus (wild yak). RNAcentral describes it as "lncRNA (ENSBMUG00000024451.1)". Lineage: Eukaryota; Metazoa; Chordata; Mammalia; Artiodactyla; Bovidae. The record is from RNAcentral.